This 73-nucleotide transfer RNA is filed under the name Candidatus Eiseniibacteriota bacterium. Its description in RNAcentral is "tRNA-Arg". It matches the Rfam family "tRNA". Rfam says of the family: Transfer RNA (tRNA) molecules are approximately 80 nucleotides in length. Their secondary structure includes four short double-helical elements and three loops (D, anti-codon, and T loops). The record is from RNAcentral. Lineage: Bacteria; Candidatus Eiseniibacteriota.
GCGCCUGUAGCUCAGUGGAUAGAGCAGCGGAUUUCUAAUCCGCUGGCCGCAGGUUCGAGUCCUGCCAGGCGCG